GACGAACGCUGGCGGCGUGCCUAAUACAUGCAAGUCGAACGAGAGCAACCGGUGCUUGCACUGGUCAAUCUAGUGGCGAACGGGUGAGUAACACGUGGGUAACCUGCCCAUCAGAGGGGGAUAACAUCCGGAAACGGAUGCUAAAACCGCAUAGGUCUUCGAACCGCAUGGUUUGAAGAGGAAAAGAGGCGCAAGCUUCUGCUGAUGGAUGGACCCGCGGUGCAUUAGCUAGUUGGUGAGGUAACGGCUCACCAAGGCCGUGAUGCAUAGCCGACCUGAGAGGGUGAUCGGCCACAUUGGGACUGAGACACGGCCCAAACUCCUACGGGAGGCAGCAGUAGGGAAUCUUCCGCAAUGGACGCAAGUCUGACGGAGCAACGCCGCGUGAGUGAAGAAGGUUUUCGGAUCGUAAAACUCUGUUGUUAGAGAAGAACAAGUGCUAGAGUAACUGUUAGCGCCCUGACGGUAUCUAACCAGAAAGCCACGGCUAACUACGUG
Molecule: ribosomal RNA, 498 nt
Filed under: uncultured bacterium
Lineage: Bacteria
Description: partial 16S ribosomal RNA
Rfam family: Bacterial small subunit ribosomal RNA
Source: RNAcentral